Molecule: ribosomal RNA, 531 nt
Filed under: Pilosphaera zebra
Lineage: Eukaryota; Metazoa; Mollusca; Gastropoda; Architaenioglossa; Cyclophoridae
Description: partial 16S ribosomal RNA
Source: RNAcentral
UAGCUAGAUUCAUAUUAGUUUGUAAUAAUCUCGAAGCCUAAAGAGCUAUUUUAUAGUAUGAGAGUAGGUGUGGUAUAACCUUUCUUAAACUAUAAAAUAGAAAUAAGAUGUUAUUCGUGUUAGGGGAUAGCUAGUUUUGGCAGAAAUGUAUAUAAGUACAGAAGUUGAAAAGGCUUAGUUUUAAUUUAUUAAAACAUUUAAUAUUAACAUUUGAGUUAUUUAAGGAUAAGCUCUGGUAACAUGUCUAUACAAAAGACUAGUAUAAAAAUAAAUUUAGGCUUGGAAUUAGCCAUAAUUAUUAGUUUGUUUCUAAAAAUUUAUUUAUAAUACUGUCUUGCGGGUUUGAGUGUGUAUGCUAUAUAAGUUAUUUCUUAAGAUAAUGAUUAAACUUAUGCUAAGAUGAGUAUUAAAUUAAGCAAAAAUAAUAGCUGUAUUCUAAAAAGCUAAAUUUUGAAUUAUUAAAAAAUGAUAUAUAUAUAAGGAACUCGGCAAAUACAAGCUUCGCCUGUUUAGCAAAAACAUGUCUCUUCG